CCUGGCAAGCUCAAGCUCAAGUUUGAUCUCUGGUACCAAUAAAUACAAACAAACAAACAAAAAACCCACAGCAUUUUAACAUAAAGCAUAGGGAUGCUUCUCAAAAUGUUUUUCUACAUUUCUUUCUAGAAUUUCAAAUUUUACUUCAACAACUUCUCUCAUCAAACAGAGCAUUAACAAGCACACACUGAAAGCUUCUUGAGAGACCCAAGAGUUAAAAAACAUGACUUCAGCCUUGACUUGCAUAGAAAUUGGGUGACAAUCAAAAUCUACAUAUAUUAUCUGAGACAAAUCAUUGAGAAAUGCUGAUGACAGGAAAAACUGACAAAUAUAUUUGGAUUAUCUAGUCAACGAGAAGAGAUUAUUUGUUAAACAAAUCCGGGGAAAUUCCAAAGAAUUCCCUUACACCUUUAGUUGAAACCACACAGCUGUCCUCUGAUGGAUAAAUGGAUAUAAAUAAAAUUACAACAUGUCCACACAAUGAAAUACCAUAUUACUUGGCAAUAAAAUGGAAUGGACUGACACAACAUAGCUCAAUUUUAAAACAAACAAAUUUACAAAGCAGUUUGCUGAGUAAAAAAGAGCCCAUCCCAAAAAGAGCACAUCCUGUAUGAUUCUAAUUAUAUGCAAUUAUAAUAAAGACAAAACAACUUACAGUACCAUAAAGCAGAUCUAGCAUUACCCAGGGAGGAAGAGGAAGGCAUGGGAAAAGGCCAGGAAAAGAGCAGCAAAGAAGCACCUAGAUAUCUUCGGAGUUGAUGGUAUGGUUUUUAUCCUGAUUAUGACUAUGAGUUCAGGGGUAUACAUUAAGUCUACAAUAAGUUUUUGCUAUCUGUGCAUGUGUUAUUGAAUAACAAUUAUAUUUCAUUAAAGGUUUUUAAUCAAAAAUGAACUGCACACAAAUAUUGAACUCAUCCAUACUGAAGUGCAGAGGACUGAAAUGGACUAUUAUCUACAACUUACUUUAAUGUAUAAAAUGAGGUGGACUGAGAGAUGAACACAGGAAAAGGCAAAUAUAUUAAAAAAUUUCAGCCAGAAUCCCAAGGAAGAUAAAAAAGAACAAUGUAUACACAAGAAAAACUGGAAUAUACCUCAUCAAACCGCAAAUUUGGAAAUGAACUGAAACUGCUCCCUGGUGUGAAAGCUGAAUCCAGCAGCCACCUGCAGGAUCAGCGACCAACACUGCCAGAUGCUACAAAGCCUUUGAUUUCCAGUAGCGAAUUCGGCCACAUUUAACUCAUGUGACAUGAACUAACUGCAACAGCAUUUUCAAUCGUUCUCUCUUAUUUUUUUUUUUAAUACAAACUCUAGCUUCCUGCUCACUACAUAUGAAACAGCUGCGUAGAUAGGUUCAUUCAG
Non-coding RNA from Heterocephalus glaber (naked mole-rat), 1359 nucleotides. NCBI's taxonomy places the organism in Eukaryota, Metazoa, Chordata, Mammalia, Rodentia, Bathyergidae. The record is from RefSeq and is a predicted model, not a curated record.